This 161-nucleotide small nuclear RNA is filed under the name Fukomys damarensis (Damara mole-rat). RNAcentral describes it as "U2 spliceosomal RNA". It matches the Rfam family "U2 spliceosomal RNA". Rfam says of the family: U2 is a small nuclear RNA (snRNA) component of the spliceosome (involved in pre-mRNA splicing). Complementary binding between U2 snRNA (in an area lying towards the 5' end but 3' to hairpin I) and the branchpoint sequence (BPS) of the intron results the bulging out of an unpaired adenosine, on the BPS, which initiates a nucleophilic attack at the intronic 5' splice site, thus starting the first of two transesterification reactions that mediate splicing. Lineage: Eukaryota; Metazoa; Chordata; Mammalia; Rodentia; Bathyergidae. The record is from Rfam by way of RNAcentral.
AUUGCUUCUCAGCCUUUUGGCUAAGAUCAAGUGUAGUAUUAAAAAGGGUGCAGAACUGGGUCUCUUCGCUCUUACUAGAUGUAUCAUUAUAAGAGGCAAUGUUAGGACCUGGCAAUGAGCUAAUCAUUAAAUUUGCACUUUUUGGCAGUAUUAGAAUUGAA